This 583-nucleotide ribosomal RNA is filed under the name uncultured fungus. RNAcentral's name for it is "eukaryotic LSU rRNA". The stretch from base 165 to 318 matches the Rfam family "5.8S ribosomal RNA". Lineage: Eukaryota; Fungi. The record is from RNAcentral.
UCCGUAGGUGAACCUGCGGAAGGAUCAUUAAUGAAUUUUAGGACUCUCUUUUUAGAGGUCCGACCCUUUCAUUUCCAUACACUGUGCACACACUUCUUUUCACACAUUUUAACACUAUAGUAUAAGAAUGUAACAGUCUCUUUAUUGAGCAUAAAUAAAAAUAAAACUUUCAGCAACGGAUCUCUUGGCUCUCGCAUCGAUGAAGAACGCAGCGAAUUGCGAUAAGUAAUGUGAAUUGCAGAAUUCAGUGAAUCAUCGAAUCUUUGAACGCACCUUGCACUCUUUGGUAUUCCGAAGAGUAUGUCUGUUUGAGUGUCAUGAAACUCUCAACCCCCCUAUUUUGUAAUGAGAUGGGCGUGGGCUUGGAUUAUGACUGCUGUCGGCGUAAUUGCCGGCUCAGUUGAAAUACACGAGCAACCCAUUUGAAAUAAACGGCUUGACUCGGCGUAAUAAUUAUUUCGCUGAGGACGUUUUCUUCAAAAGUUAGAGGUGCUUCUAAUGCGCUAUUACAGCACUUUAAAUUUUAGACCUCAAAUCAGUCAGGACUACCCGCUGAACUUAAGCAUAUCAAUAAGCGGAGGAA